ACGGAAGGUCCAGGCGUUAUCCGGAUUUAUUGGGUUUAAAGGGAGCGCAGGCGGACUCUUAAGUCAGUUGUGAAAUACGGCGGCUCAACCGUCGGACUGCAGUUGAUACUGGGGGUCUUGAGUACACGCAGAGAUACUGGAAUUCAUGGUGUAGCGGUGAAAUGCUCAGAUAUCAUGAGGAACUCCAAUCGCGAAGGCAGGUAUCUGGAGUGUAACUGACGCUGAGGCUCGAAAGUGCGGGUAUCAAACAGGAUUAGAUACCCUGGUAGUCCGCACAGUAAACGAUGAAUACUCGCGGUUGGCGAUAUACAGUCAGCCGCCAAGCGAAAGCGUUAAGUAUUCCACCUGGGGAGUACGCCGGCAACGGUG
Molecule: ribosomal RNA, 369 nt
Filed under: uncultured bacterium
Lineage: Bacteria
Description: bacterial SSU rRNA
Rfam family: Bacterial small subunit ribosomal RNA
Source: RNAcentral